RNAcentral lists this transfer RNA (54 nucleotides) under Gammaproteobacteria bacterium HGW-Gammaproteobacteria-13. RNAcentral's name for it is "tRNA-Leu". It matches the Rfam family "tRNA", at positions 22 to 71 of the family's 71-position model. Rfam says of the family: Transfer RNA (tRNA) molecules are approximately 80 nucleotides in length. Their secondary structure includes four short double-helical elements and three loops (D, anti-codon, and T loops). Further hydrogen bonds mediate the characteristic L-shaped molecular structure. tRNAs have two regions of fundamental functional importance: the anti-codon, which is responsible for specific mRNA codon recognition, and the 3' end, to which the tRNAs corresponding amino acid is attached (by aminoacyl-tRNA synthetases). tRNAs cope with the degeneracy of the genetic code in two manners: having more than one tRNA (with a specific anti-codon) for a particular amino acid; and 'wobble' base-pairing, i.e. permitting non-standard base-pairing at the 3rd anti-codon position. The record is from RNAcentral. Lineage: Bacteria; Pseudomonadati; Pseudomonadota; Gammaproteobacteria.
CUCGUCGGGCUCAUAACCCGAAGGUCGUCGGUUCAAAUCCGGCUCCCGCAACCA